Molecule: ribosomal RNA, 370 nt
Filed under: uncultured bacterium
Lineage: Bacteria
Description: bacterial SSU rRNA
Rfam family: Bacterial small subunit ribosomal RNA
Source: RNAcentral
GGGCCCGCACAAGCGGUGGAGCAUGUGGUUUAAUUCGAUGAUACGCGAGGAACCUUACCAGGGCUUAAAUGUAGAGUGACAGGGCUAGAGAUAGCUUUUUCUUCGGACACUUUACAAGGUGCUGCAUGGUUGUCGUCAGCUCGUGCCGUGAGGUGUCAGGUUAAGUCCUAUAACGAGCGCAACCCCCUACUGCUAGUUGCUAACAGGUUAAGCUGAGGACUCUAGUGGGACUGCCGGUGCAAACCGCGAGGAAGGUGGGGAUGACGUCAAAUCAUCACGGCCCUUACGUCCUGGGCUACACACGUGCUACAAUGGUAGAGACAAUGAGCAGCCACUGCGUGAGCAGGAGCGAAUCUAUAAACUCUAUCAC